RNA transcript from Hevea brasiliensis (rubber tree), 2248 nucleotides. It is a transcript of the gene named peptide chain release factor APG3, chloroplastic, with no coding region annotated. NCBI's taxonomy places the organism in Eukaryota, Viridiplantae, Streptophyta, Magnoliopsida, Malpighiales, Euphorbiaceae. The record is from RefSeq and is a predicted model, not a curated record. The transcript is spliced from 5 exons.
AGAUAAGGAGUGUAUAUAGCUUUUGAGUUUUUCUGUUUUUAGAUUUACAGGCCUUAGUUCUUCAGGCGAGAGUUUUCAUGACUGACUUGCUUCUAUUUUAUGUUGGGUUUUCUUGUCUUCUAGUUUUGUUGGUUUUGAGAUUCGAUGAUGCAUAUUAUAAAGAGAAGGUGUGGUGGUUGUUCCUGGGGAUCUAGCAACAUGGUUAACCCGAAAAGUGUGAGUCGGACGCCAAAGAACAUCAUCGCUGCUAAUCCUCCGCUCUUAUUGGUUUUGUGUGGCUGUUUCUAUUAAGAGUCUUUGAAAUUUCUUCUUUAGUUUGACUAUUUGGAGGUUCUUGGGACACAAAUGGAAGAGAAGCUCCCUCCGAGCAUGGACGAGUGCAAAUCUGAAGUUGCAUGGUUGCCAGUUUACUUCGAAGAGACUUCUCUGAUACUACUUUAUAUAUUGAAAGUGUCCCGACGCCUAAAGAGUUGACCUAGUAGUAUAGCGCUGAGGUGUACGCGGUUGGUCACCGGGUUAUGGAGGAGCUCUCUGAAUCGAAUUCCCCAAGCUACCCUAGGGUUUUGUGAAGUGAGAUCUGGCCUCUCUUGUCUACUGGGCUUGUUAUGGGCUUUGGGUAUUUGAGGUAAUCUGCUGGUUUGAAGUACUGUAAUUGGCCCAUCACCUUGUACCCAAUCUUUUUUAACCAAUGCAAUCUGGAUCUAUCUCUCGGAAAAAAAAAAAAAAGUACGGUUUAGGAACUCAUUUCACCAAACCGACCCUUGUCAGUUACGCAGGUGAGAGGCCGCGGCUACUUCUUCUUCCGGUCCCUCAAAAAUACUUUGCGGCUUUCCUUUCUAUCUCACGGUAUCUGAAUUACAUGUCAACCAUGGCUAGCUUAAGCUUAAGUGCUUAACAACGAGCUUAACAGCUCCAAUAUUUGCUAUUCCCAAUCAGAUGAAUUAAGGGUCAUUCUUCUUUUUUCCUGUGAUAUGGCAGCUCUAACAAAAGAGGAAGGAAAUGACGAAGGUACGGCUGAGUUGAUAGCAUAUGAAAUUGGAUCUUUAUACGAUGAGCUUAAAGAGUUCGAGGAGAAGCUUAAGGUACUACUGUUACCUAGAGAUCCUCUUGACGCAAGAAAUGUAAUGCUUGAAGUCAAGGUAAUUUUAACUUGUUCAUCAUCUCCUGGAAAUGAUACGGCGAGAUCAAGUUGUGCCAGAAUUUUUAAAUCUUGAUGGGGAAGGUAGCCAUUUUCUACGAAAAAUGUUUGAGAGAUUUAUAUACUUUUGGAACUUCUUGUCUUGGAAAUUAUAUUGACCCAUACAUUAAGAUCUUUUGGCAUAGGUGUGAACUGUAGUUCCUUUUGGCUGAAGAUGCUUGAUGUUAAUCUGGUCAUGGCGUGACUGAGUUUGAUAAAUCUGAUAUUAGUGCUUAGUAUCUCAGUUGUCUUUUACAAUUGUUUGAUUGGUUCAUGACAGUUCUUAUGCUUUACUUUGGAUUUAGGCGGAUGAAGUUGAAGUGGUAAUUGAUCUAAAGAAUAUUCAACUUACAACAGGAAGGUCUGAAGGUGCUGGAGUUAUGAAACAGCUGGUGCUAGCUCAUAUUUGAAUGAAGUGAAUCAGUUCUCGUCUCUUUCACCCCACCUUCCUUGUGCACUCCCAAGAGAAGUGACUAAAAGGGGCAUCUUUUUACACAUAUUUUGUGCAUGACCUCCUGCUGGGCAAAAUGUCAACGAGGUGGAAACAGCUGUUGAUCUUUUCCACAAACCAACAGGAAUUCGCAUCUUUUAUUCUGAAUAAAGGAUACAACUUCUGCAAGCAAAACUCAGGUGUGAGAUGAAAGUAAGUGAGCAGCAUUAGUCAAUAAGGAACCAAUGAAAAUUACAGGCAUGUGCUGCUAUGAACUCCAGGAAGAACUCGCCGAGUCUAUAGGUGCUUCUUCCAGCUGGCCCAUUUGCAAAAUCUUCCCUGAUUGCGUAUACCCUCAAGAAGUUGAAAUAGGAGAAAACCCCUUCUAGGAAGUGCUACUGAGCAAUGUGGGGAAACAACAAUUGCUGCCGCCUAUGAUAUUUUCACGCAUAGGAUUUUCUAAUAUCAACUUUUUAAAGACGGAUAUUUUACAAAGCAAAUUUAUUUGUAUCAGAGGAUGCAAACGUGCGAUACAUUUGGUCUGUUGCUGACUGUAUGAUUUCAUUUGAAUGAAAUCAAAGAUGUUGCAAAUUAUCCUUUCCAUUCCAUUAAUGCCAUUCCUCCACCCUGAAUUUUUAAUA